Molecule: transfer RNA, 72 nt
Filed under: Capra hircus (goat)
Lineage: Eukaryota; Metazoa; Chordata; Mammalia; Artiodactyla; Bovidae
Also listed under: 1 other name
Rfam family: tRNA
About the family: Transfer RNA (tRNA) molecules are approximately 80 nucleotides in length. Their secondary structure includes four short double-helical elements and three loops (D, anti-codon, and T loops).
Source: Rfam by way of RNAcentral
UCCCUGGUGGCUCAGAUGGUAAAGCGUCUGCCUACAAUGCGGGAGACCCGGGUUCAAUCCCUGGGUGGGGAA